ACGGGUGAGUAAUACAUCGGAACGUAUCCUGGAGUGGGGGAUAGCCCGGCGAAAGCCGGAUUAAUACCGCAUACGCUCUGAGGAGGAAAGCGGGGGACCUUCGGGCCUCGCGCUCAAGGGGCGGCCGAUGGCGGAUUAGGUAGUUGGUGGGGUAAAGGCCUACCAAGCCGACGAUCCGUAGCUGGUCUGAGAGGACGACCAGCCACACUGGGACUGAGACACGGCCCAGACUCCUACGGGAGGCAGCAGUGGGGAAUUUUGGACAAUGGGGGCAACCCUGAUCCAGCAAUGCCGCGUGUGUGAAGAAGGCCUUCGGGUUGUAAAGCACUUUUGUCCGGAAAGAAAUCAUCGGGGCCAAUACCCCUGGUGGAUGACGGUACCGGAAGAAUAAGCACCGGCUAACUACGUGCCAGCAGCCGCGGUAAUACGUAGGGUGCGAGCGUUAAUCGGAAUUACUGGGCGUAAAGCGUGCGCAGGCGGUGCUGUAAGACCGAUGUGAAAUCCCCGGGCUUAACCUGGGAACUGCAUUGGUGACUGCAGCGCUGGAGUAUGGCAGAGGGGGGUGGAAUUCCACGUGUAGCAGUGAA
This 587-nucleotide ribosomal RNA is filed under the name uncultured bacterium. RNAcentral's name for it is "bacterial SSU rRNA". It matches the Rfam family "Bacterial small subunit ribosomal RNA", at positions 102 to 685 of the family's 1533-position model. The record is from RNAcentral.